GGCCACUGCUAUCGGGGUUCGAUUAAGCCAUGCGAGUCGAGAGGCAACUCGGCAUACUGCUCAGUAACACGUGGACAACCUACCCUAAGGAGGGGGAUAACCCCGGAAAACUGGGGAUAAUACCCCAUAGACUACAGAAUCUGGAAUGAUCUGUAAUUGAAAGGUCCGCCGCCUUAGGAUGGGUCUGCGGCAGAUUAGGUUGUUGUUGGGGUAACGGCCCAACAAGCCUGUAAUCUGUACGGGUUGUGGGAGCAAGAACCCGGAGAUGGAUUCUGAGACACGAAUCCAGGCCCUACGGGGCGCAGCAGGCGCGAAAACUUUACAAUGCGGGAAACCGUGAUAAGGGAACCCCGAGUGCCCGUAAAUCGGGCUGUUAACCUGUUUAAAAAGCAGGUGGAGAAAGGGCCGGGCAAGACCGGUGCCAGCCGCCGCGGUAAUACCGGCGGCUCGAGUGGUGGCCACUAUUACUGGGCUUAAAGCGUCCGUAGCUGGAUUGUUAAGUCUCUUGGGAAAUCUACCGGCUUAACCGCUAGGCGUUCAAGGGAUACUGGCAAUCUAGGGACCGGGAGAGGUGAGAGGUACUCCAGGGGUAGGAGUGAAAUCCUGUAAUCCUUGGGGGACCACCUGUG
Molecule: ribosomal RNA, 629 nt
Filed under: uncultured archaeon
Lineage: Archaea
Description: bacterial SSU rRNA
Rfam family: Archaeal small subunit ribosomal RNA
Source: RNAcentral